This 59-nucleotide non-coding RNA is filed under the name unclassified sequences. The record is from Rfam.
CGUUCAGAGAUUGUCACUGUCAUUAACCACAUAGUUGGAUAUGGGAAUACAAUUGUUGG